GUCAACUCCACUUUCACCAGGAAAUAGAGGCUGUCCAAGAAGUAGUUCAGCAAGAACACAGCCAGCAGACCAGAUGUCAAUAGCUGUUGUGUACUCAGUUGCCCCGAAUAUUAGCUCUGGUGCUCUAUAAUAUCUAGAACAUAUAUAUGAUAUAUUUGGCUCCCCUUUUACCAAGACUUUUGCACUUCCAAAAUCACACAAUUUAACCUGGUGUGUAUGAGGAUUAACCAAAAGGUUUUGAGGUUUGAUGUCCCGAUGACACACUCCAAUUGCACGAUGGAUGUAUGACAAUGCCCUGAAGAUCUGCCAAAUUGUCAACAAUAUGUGAAUAUCUUGCCAAUUUCAAUUCCAAUGAACUAUUGUUUCAAGUAGAAACCAUUUCCAGAACUAAGUGAAAAUUAACUAGUGUCUAUGCAAAGAUGAAAAUAACAUGACAAAGAAAAUGACAAAAGAACAAAGGAAAAGAAAAUGACAAAUAUUGCAACCAUAUGAACUAGUCCCAUUCUCUAAUAAAACACCAUCCUAGUACCAAACUCAAGUGCCCCAUUCCAUACCUGGUAUGCAUAAAGUUUCACAUAUAUCAGUGGCAUUCUCUGAUUCAACUUGUUGUAGUGUUUAAUCACCCGGUGAACAGUUUCAGGGACAUACUCAAGAACCAAAUUAAGGUAAAGUUCAUCCUUCUCAGUUGUUGAAAAGAAACAAUGCUUUAACGAGACAACAUUUGGGUGGUCAAGAAGACGCAUGGUUUGCAGUUCACGGUUCUUAUACCUCUUAUCUUGAAGAACUUUCUUUAUAGCAACACUUUCACCAGUCUCCAAGCACUUUGCCUGGAAAACAACUCCAAAUGAUCCAUGCCCAACAACACGCUCAGCCAUGUAGCUUAUUGUCUGCUUUGGCUGGCCAUUUCUACCACCAAUUGUUGUAACUAUAAUAUGACCUGUCUCUGUACCAUUGCCAUCAACUACUGUUGCUUCCAUUUCUUUGUCAUCCCUAAUUUUCAUAUCAUUCAUCUCCUCAGGUAAUUUAUCAACACCAGCAUUAUGGCCACUAGCUUCUCUCAUACCAGUAGGUGCCACACCCACAGAAGCCAUUUGUUGGACAAGUUAAAAAUGUUUCUUAUCCUUGCACUGUGAUAGAACUAAACAUUUACCGAUCGAACCAGAAAAUUCUGGGUAUGAAGAAGAAGCUCUAUCGAAACGAUACCGUUUGGAGGAAGUAGGGGAUCAGACAAUAGAGAGAGAAAGUGGUGACGAUAGAUCCAUUUUUGUAGGUUAUGUGUGUAUAGGGCCUUCAGCUUCCUCCUUUGAUUUUUUGUUGUGCGUUUUACAUUUUUUUUUCCCCCUUUUUU
Molecule: unclassified non-coding RNA, 1348 nt
Filed under: Hevea brasiliensis (rubber tree)
Lineage: Eukaryota; Viridiplantae; Streptophyta; Magnoliopsida; Malpighiales; Euphorbiaceae
Source: RNAcentral